CAGGCUGCAACUCGCCUGCACGAAGUCGGAAUUGCUAGUAAUCGUAGGUCAGCAUACUACGGUGAAUACGUUCCCGGGCCUUGUACACACCGCCCGUCAAACCAUGAGAGUUGGCAACACCCGAAGUCGGUAGUCUAACCGCAAGGAGGACGCCGCCGAAGGUGGGGGUUGAUGAUUAGGGUUAAGUCGUAACAAGGUACC
Molecule: ribosomal RNA, 201 nt
Filed under: uncultured bacterium
Lineage: Bacteria
Description: partial 16S ribosomal RNA
Rfam family: Bacterial small subunit ribosomal RNA
Source: RNAcentral